This is a long non-coding RNA of Cervus elaphus (red deer), 461 nucleotides long. RefSeq lists it as uncharacterized. Lineage: Eukaryota; Metazoa; Chordata; Mammalia; Artiodactyla; Cervidae. The transcript has 3 exons. The record is from RefSeq and is a predicted model, not a curated record.
AUAACAACCACUGUGGCAGGGGUCAAAGAAUACGAACUGCAGAGCAAGCCAGGACUGACUCUGCACAGGCCCCGGUGGGAGAUGUCUCAUUUGUGAGCCCAGACUGCCUGCCAGACACCUGUGUCCAUAGAGUUCAACAGGCAAGAAUACUGGAGAGGGCUGCCAUGCCCUCCUCCAAGGGAUCUUCCCGAUGCAGGGAUUGAAACCUAGUCUCUUACUUCCGCAUUGGCAGGUCCUGACUCUGCCUUGCAAUGAACUGGUUACUAUUUGCAUAUAAUGCAGUUUCAGGAACACUCAGAAGUACUGACUACUAAGAACUUUUCUCUAUUGGGAUGAGGACAUUGCUUGGCUUUGUGUAUCUUCUUUCUUGUCUAUAAGGACAUAAUACAUGCAAAGGAGAACAAUGACAGCCCAUAAUUUCUCUCUUUAGACAUGGGCAAAUUGGUUACAAUAUAGAGACU